This 400-nucleotide ribosomal RNA is filed under the name phytoplankton environmental sample. RNAcentral's name for it is "partial small subunit ribosomal RNA". It matches the Rfam family "Eukaryotic small subunit ribosomal RNA", at positions 587 to 991 of the family's 1831-position model. The record is from RNAcentral.
AGCUCCAAUAGCGUAUAUUAAAGUUGUUGCAGUUAAAACGCUCGUAGUCGGAUUUCGGGGCGGUCUUGCCGGUCUGCCGUUGGGUAUGCACUGGUGCGAGCGUCCUUCCUUCCGGAGACGGUGCCUCCUCUUAACUGAGUGGGUAUCGGAGACGGAUCGUUUACUUUGAAAAAAUCAGAGUGUUUCAAGCAGGCAGCUCGCUUUUGCAUGGAUUAGCAUGGGAUAAUGAAAUAGGACUUUGGUGCUAUUUUGUUGGUUUCGAACACCGAAGUAAUGAUUAACAGGGACAGUCAGGGGCACUCGUAUUCCGCCGAGAGAGGUGAAAUUCUCAGACCAGCGGAAGACGCACCACUGCGAAAGCAUUUGCCAGGGAUGUUUUCACUGAUCAAGAACGAAAGUA